UCCUCUUUCAAGUCCAACAUCACUCCUUGCAAAAUCUGAAAAAAAUACCCACCAAAGGCUUCUUCCAUUUGAAAAAAGACAUUCGUCAGUCUAAGUAUCAAACCCAAACAACAUUAGUCCAGAUCCCAAGCUCUGCCACCUUUGCAACUUUGGCUGAAGUCAGAGAGAAAAACUCUUUUCAUCACACCACAAUUCAACCAUAUAUUCUUCCUUGAGUUGAUCCACCAAUGCCAACACAACAGAAAAUCUAUUUCUUACCAAUUCUAUUCUUUUUGAAACACUACCGCUUUAGCCAACCGUAACCACCA
This 308-nucleotide long non-coding RNA is filed under the name Phaseolus vulgaris (common bean). Its description in RNAcentral is "long non-coding RNA (PVUL_LNC000887)". The record is from RNAcentral. Lineage: Eukaryota; Viridiplantae; Streptophyta; Magnoliopsida; Fabales; Fabaceae.